Non-coding RNA from Pelobates cultripes (western spadefoot toad), 167 nucleotides. Lineage: Eukaryota; Metazoa; Chordata; Amphibia; Anura; Pelobatidae. The record is from the annotation of a GenBank genome assembly.
GCAGACACAUUCCAGCCAAUCAGCAGCAGACCCUCCCUCCCAGACCCUCCCACCUCCUGGACAGCAUCCAUUUUACAUUCAUUGUGAAGCUGCAUUCUUAGUGAGCUGUCCAGGAGGUGGGAGGGUCUGGGAGGGAGGGUCUGCUGCUGAUUGGCUGGAAUGUGCCU